This 450-nucleotide long non-coding RNA is filed under the name Felis catus (domestic cat). RNAcentral's name for it is "lncRNA (ENSFCAG00000043635.2)". Lineage: Eukaryota; Metazoa; Chordata; Mammalia; Carnivora; Felidae. The record is from RNAcentral.
UCUGUGUCUACAGUGACCAUCACUCCAAGUUUGGAUACCACAGUCAAUAAAACUGGCAUGAUGAUUUAUGAAAGUAAAUGGAGGCUACAAAGAAAGGAGUGAUAACGUGAUAUGUACACUUUAAUAGCCACCGUCUGUACCCUGAUGGUGAAGUCAAGAGCACAGGACAGUCCUUGGCCAAAGUUAUAUACGUGGAGUCACCAUUGGCUGACCUCAGCAGAAGCCACGAGGACGAGAAAGCCUGGGUAAUGCAGGUCAUAAAGAGAUGGGCAGAAGGGAGAUCUAGAAACGCAAAUUAAAAAUAACUAGCAAACACAUGCUAUUCUCUAACUGUAAUGCCCUUCCCUAUUUUUUAUCUGUCAAAAUCCUGAUCACUCAAUUCAUGAGGAACAUUCUCUGUGGAAUUACAGUGCUUCCCAACAAAGAGAACUGGUCUUUUCUCUUAUUUGA